This 578-nucleotide ribosomal RNA is filed under the name Morchella esculenta. RNAcentral describes it as "partial 28S ribosomal RNA". It matches the Rfam family "Eukaryotic large subunit ribosomal RNA", at positions 63 to 653 of the family's 3401-position model. Lineage: Eukaryota; Fungi; Ascomycota; Pezizomycetes; Pezizales; Morchellaceae. The record is from RNAcentral.
AACCAACAGGGAUUGCCUCAGUAACGGCGAGUGAAGCGGCAAAAGCUCAAAUUUUAAAGCUGGCACCUUCGGUGUCCGCGUUGUAAUUUUGUGAGGCAUCUCCGGGUAGGGCGCCGGCCUAAGUUCCUUGGAACAGGACGUCAUAGAGGGUGAGAAUCCCGUGCUUGGCUGGCUGUCCCCGUCCAUGUGAGGUGUCUUCGACGAGUCGAGUUGUUUGGGAAUGCAGCUCAAAAUGGGUGGUAAAUUUCAUCUAAAGCUAAAUAUUGGUGGGAGACCGAUAGCGCACAAGUAGAGUGAUCGAAAGAUGAAAAGCACUUUGAAAAUAGAGUUAAAAAGUACGUGAAAUUGUUGAAAGGGAAGCGCUUGAGACCAGACUUCGGUGGGGAGUGAUCAGCUGUCCUUCUGGGCGGUGCACUUGCUCCCCUCCGGGCCAGCAUCGGUUGGGACGGCGGGAUAAAGGUCCCGGGAAUGUGGCUCCUCUCGGGGAGUGUUAUAGCCCGGGUGAAUGCCGCCAGCCCCGACCGAGGACCGCGCCUUCGGGCUAGGAUGCUUGGCAUAAUGGUCUUCAGCGACCCGUC